RNAcentral lists this long non-coding RNA (253 nucleotides) under Glycine max (soybean). RNAcentral describes it as "long non-coding RNA (GMAX_LNC000268)". The record is from RNAcentral. Lineage: Eukaryota; Viridiplantae; Streptophyta; Magnoliopsida; Fabales; Fabaceae.
GGAAACUUUAUUUAACCAAAGAGUACCCCAAAGGAAUAGAGUUUCCUUUAUCAGCCAUAUAGUCUGAUACCGAAUUCCCUUCUAAUCUUCCUUAGGAUGCAUGGUUGCAUAAUGAUGUAGGUCAGAUAUCUGUUCUCUGAUGAGGUUAAUGCUCAUCACAGCAUAGUCACCAAAUUUUUCACACCUUUAUCCCAAACAAUCUCGCAGCCUGAAUUAUAGCACUAUAUAUGGGCUCUGCAUAAAGAAUACUGCA